UGUAGACAAGUGAACUCACUAAUAACAACAUUAUUUUGACUUCUCAUAAAAACUAUUUGCUCUUCUUAAAAAUUGUGUCAAAUUGAUAUAAGAUUGCUUAAUCUUUUCAUGAGGGUAAAACAGACAAUUUGAUAUGAAAAUUGGACAUUUUUUGCGACGAUUAUCAAAAUAUGACACUUCUCAACUCACACCCCUAAAAUGGACAAUCUUCAAAAUGCCUCAAAAAAUAAUUAGCAUUGCCAUCCCCUCAUGAAAAUUGCCACCAGCUCACAUUAUUACUGCAAUGUCGUUCGUCGCUGCAGCAGAUCUCGACAUUUUCCCAGAUCCCGACAACACCAUCACAAAACAAAUCGAAAAUCACAGCUGCAAUAAUAGGGACAAUGACAACCACUGCAACGACGACGACAAUAACCAACACCACCACUAAAAACCUCCACGACGGCAGUAGAUCGAAAAGUCACACCCAUCAUUACCACAACAACGACGAUGACAAUAAACACCACCUUCAAAAACCACCACGGAGGCAAAAGAUCAAAAAACUAAACCCGUCACUGCAACUCCGCCAACCUACGACUUGGGCUGCAGUGGCAAUGCACGCAGUCGGCGCCGUCGUCGCUGCGUAACUGCUUUGAGUGACCUCGCUCUUUGAGCGACGUCGCUCAUGAUGCCGCCACAUCAACAUUUCUUGGAGUAGCUCCUCGCCAAAAUCUGAAGAAAAGGGUGAUAGAUCUUGCCCAAUUCCCAGCGACAAUCACCGCCGCAUCUAGUGGUAAAUGUUGUGCCCUCUAUCGUAGAGAGAGAAGGAAAAAUAACGAGGGCCAAGAUAGGGGAGAGAGAGAGAGAGAGA
RNAcentral lists this long non-coding RNA (847 nucleotides) under Olea europaea (common olive). RNAcentral describes it as "long non-coding RNA (OEUR_LNC012716)". Lineage: Eukaryota; Viridiplantae; Streptophyta; Magnoliopsida; Lamiales; Oleaceae. The record is from RNAcentral.